CUCGACACCGGAAUACGACAAACUGAGGAUAAGUUGAACACGCAUCAAUGCUCAUGUAAACGGAAUCAUCACCACCUUCAUGUAUCAUAUUGGACACAGUAAGAACCGACAUUUCUCGUUGUUGGAUGGAUUCGAGGUGACUUGACUGUAUUCCCGAUCCUAAUAUGACAAGGGACGCUGUCUGGUUAAAUGUGGUCCUGUAUUUGUCCGGAAUGAACCAGAAAGAAAAGACAGAUAUGAGGGAUUAAAGACACAGCAUUGGUAUACGAUAAGCUGUGGAUCAGUGGAACCAGCAUCACUGUUCAUGUAAAUAAUUAUCUCCAGCUUGAGGAAAUUAUUAAAUAAAAGCUUUCUAUUUAAGAAAGAAACGACCAGACAACAUUGAAUUCCUGAUCUGAAGGUCACAAGGGGCGCUUUCUGGCAGCGUGUGGUCUUGGGUUGUCCGGAAUGAACCUGAAGCAAAGUUUCAUUCCAAUUGACAAACAGAUAAAGUGGUAUGCUAGAUAAACUACAUUGGAAUGCGACACCCCUGGAAUCUGCUUCCGCUGUAACACAGUUGUCUCCAUAGAGCCGUUGUUUAACUAAUUAUCUCCAUUUUGAGAAAA
Mya arenaria is the source of this 605-nucleotide long non-coding RNA. RefSeq lists it as uncharacterized. The record is from RefSeq and is a predicted model, not a curated record. Lineage: Eukaryota; Metazoa; Mollusca; Bivalvia; Myida; Myidae. The transcript has 5 exons.